CCUACGGGGGGCAGCAGUGGGGAAUCUUCCGCAAUGGACGAAAGUCUGACGGAGCAACGCCGCGUGAGUGAUGAAGGAUUUCGGUCUGUAAAACUCUGUUGUUUAUGACGAACGUGUAGUGUGUGAAUAAUGCAUUGCAAUGACGGUAGUAAACGAGGAAGCCACGGCUAACUACGUGCCAGCAGCCGCGGUAAUACGUAGGUGGCGAGCGUUGUCCGGAAUUAUUGGGCGUAAAGAGCAUGUAGGCGGCCUAUUAAGUCGAGCGUGAAAAUGCGGGGCUCAACCCCGUAUGGCGCUGGAAACUGGUAGGCUUGAGUGCAGGAGAGGAAAGGGGAAUUCCCAGUGUAGCGGUGAAAUGCGUAGAUAUUGGGAGGAACACCAGUGGCGAAGGCGCCUUUCUGGACUGUGUCUGACGCUGAGAUGCGAAAGCUAGGGUAGCGAACGGGAUUAGAUACCCCAGUAGUC
RNAcentral lists this ribosomal RNA (465 nucleotides) under uncultured Phascolarctobacterium sp. Its description in RNAcentral is "bacterial SSU rRNA". It matches the Rfam family "Bacterial small subunit ribosomal RNA", at positions 338 to 795 of the family's 1533-position model. Lineage: Bacteria; Bacillati; Bacillota; Negativicutes; Acidaminococcales; Acidaminococcaceae. The record is from RNAcentral.